This 292-nucleotide ribosomal RNA is filed under the name uncultured bacterium. Its description in RNAcentral is "partial 16S ribosomal RNA". It matches the Rfam family "Bacterial small subunit ribosomal RNA", at positions 505 to 796 of the family's 1533-position model. The record is from RNAcentral.
GUGUCAGCAGCCGCGGUAACACGUAGGAGCCAAGCGUUAUCCGAAUUCACUGGGCGUAAAGCGCGUGCAGGCGGCACGGCAAGUUGGAUGUGAAAGCUCCUGGCUCAACUGGGAGAGGACGUUCAAUACUGUCGAGCUAGAGGACGGCAGAGGGAGGUGGAAUUCCCGGUGUAGUGGUGAAAUGCGUAGAUAUCGGGAGGAACACCAGUGGCGAAGGCGGCCUUCUGGGCCGUACCUGACGCUCAGACGCGAAAGCUAGGGGAGCAAACGGGAUUAGAAACCCCAGUAGUCC